CUGACACCCCUGGAAACUACAGUCCUCUAGACAACUGCAGAAAAAGCACUGUAAGGCAGCAGCAAUGCACGCUUCCUCACAUUGCCCUGCCAAUGUGCAUCAAGUUGAACUAGAGGAACAACUGCUAAGACUUAGUGUGAUCCAUUCAGUCCUGGGCUUGCUUACUGAGACUGCA
This is an unclassified non-coding RNA of Chrysemys picta bellii (western painted turtle), 175 nucleotides long. The record is from Ensembl. Lineage: Eukaryota; Metazoa; Chordata; Testudines; Emydidae.